RNAcentral lists this long non-coding RNA (2238 nucleotides) under Equus asinus (donkey). Its description in RNAcentral is "lncRNA (ENSEASG00005026224.1)". Lineage: Eukaryota; Metazoa; Chordata; Mammalia; Perissodactyla; Equidae. The record is from RNAcentral.
ACAGGAUUUCACUCCCAUUUCUGCCACUGAUGUGUUGAUGGUUUCUCACCAAAGACUUUACGAUCUAUCUGAAGACGCUUGGUACCUCCUGUGCUCAUAUGUGUUCACCUCCGGGCGAUGAUGGCCAAGUUGGACACAGCUAAGGGUGCAGAAUAAAUCCCAAGCCCCAGCUCCAGUCAACUCAGGCAAAAGAAUCAUCGUUAGCGUGGGCUGUGAGUCACUUUCAAUGGCUGAGAAAAUAACAAAGCAGAAUCCUUUGGGCUCUCAUCUACCUACUCUUUGCGUUACAUCAUGGGUGAAAAACGAAGGAGCAUGGGUGACAUGAGAAAAGUGGGAGAGGCUACCAUCGUGGAUCUCCAAAUUUUGAUGCAAGGUCCUGCUGUGCCUGAAUCACAUCUAGGCCCACAGAGUCAGAGGUGGAACCUGUCACACUGCAGAGCUGUCAUGGUGUCCAGGGGUGUGGUAAGGAGAUUGUAAUAGCUUCAGGAUGAGAAGGACUUGGUACGGGCAGCUGGAAACUUGGCUCUGGAAUCUGCCUGGGAGGUGAGUGUGAGUGCUCAUCUCUGGUCCAAAAUUUUCAAGCAAAGACGUCUUCCAGAAAGGAGAGGCAGGUCUGUUGGAGUAAAACGUUCUGGGAAAAUGCAAGCUAAAUUUCUUACCUACUGGCAGAAAGAGGAUGAAAAGACCUCUGAGUCAGAGAUGAGAUUGCAGAGAUUUGUGGACAAAGCAGAAAGGAGGCAGAAAGCCUGGGAAAGCUUGUCCAAAGUCUCAGCAUGACACAGUCAGGAGUUUGCUGGAGACAUUCAGCAUUAACAAAUAACCUCAGGCUUCAAGAACUGCCUGAGGGCCUUCCAGAAUCUUCACCAUUAGUCUCGGUGGAGGAGGAGGAAGUAGAGGCCACAGAAAUUGUAAAGAAAGAAAGUAAUGCUGUAAGCUCAGGUCUUAGAGACUAAAAGAAAAAUGUCACAGAGAGAGUGGUUAGUAGCUGCGUCAAACAGGGCAAGGGUGGGAAGCUCUAAACCCACGUCCUAGGACAGGGAGCCAGGCCAACUCUUGGCUCCAUCCUCCCCUUUUUGGUUACUACUAUACGGAUUGGAUGGUGUUAAAAGCAAGCUGCGUAUAGCCUUUGGUGUUGGAGAAUAUGGGGUCAGUCUGAAAAUAGGUUAGGGUCACAGGUCGGAACAAGCUGGACCAGGCCUCAGUGAAGCUCAAAGCUCCCCCACAAUUCCUGUGCCCAACCACCUGCCUGGAGGGGCUUGAGGUGAGACAGGUGCAAAUCAAAGAGCAGAGACAUGGCUGGCCAUGCCAGAUGUUAGGUCCCAAGAUUCCGGUCCUUCCCAAGCAGCAUCUUGCCCAGGCCGUACUGCAGGACUCAACAGAGUUCAUUCUCUGACACAGGUUGAGGACAGGCUCCCCUGUGAGGUGCAUUGUGAUGAGCCAGGAAUUCCAGGUGUGGCAUGAAGGUGAGAGAAGUUGUGUCACACCCUGAUGGCCUGGCAACACGGCCCAGGUUGUUGGGGCAAAUUUGCAUCCAUUCCCGGGCCUAACCAUUAUUUCUGGCAAUAUGGUUGAAUCAAUAUCCAGCAACACCAUGGCUUUUGUCCUUGGCUACUCAUGCACAACUCCAGAGGGCCCAGGAGGCAGGGCUACACAAUUUCCAACUCAACUUGCUGAUGAGGAAGGCCUCAGGGAGCAGGGCCCAGGGGACCAGACUCCCACAGCUUCAAAGGGAGUAGUCUCAGCUAGCUCCAAGAUCGCAGAGCACUCUAGAGACCAAUCAUUUAAGGAACAAUAUUGAAGAACAUCCAAUUAAUGGCAUUAUAUGGGAAUAUCACUUUGGCUAAAGUGCACAGAAGUAGGAGGAGGUGAGGUUUGAAAGUUCAGUUGAUACCCACCUGCAGAGGGCCUUGCACACCAGGUUAAGAGGUGUGAUUUUUUUUCUUGGAAGCAAUGGGAAGCAAUGGGAUUUUGAAGCUAGGCAGGAGGCAGACAGAUUAGAGUCCAGAUCUGUGCUAGGAGCCACCUCUUGCUCCCCGAAAAUGGCCUCUCUUCCAGUCUUCCUUUAUGCCUCAAUUCUUGCCCCAGCCAGCUUUCCAGACCAGUGCUUGGCACAGAAAGGAUAGUAAAAAGAAUUUCCUGAACACAUGAAUGGACAGUGUGAUGUUUAUGAGACUCCAAAGGGAGGGAGGCUAAUGAGUGCGAAAUAUGACACAACAUUUACAACCACCAAUUAAAAAG